GGAUCGGGCACAAACUUGGACAGUUCAAGGUUUCGGUUCUUGAUCGCGGACCAUCUCGAUGUUAACGCCCAGGACGUGCAGGCCUACAUUGUUGGUGAACACGGUGAUAGUUCAGUGGCGUUAUGGUCCAGCAUAAGUGUUGGGGGAGUGCCAAUACUGACCUUCUUAGAUAAGCAGCAAAUUGCCUACGAGAAGGAGACUCUGGAGAACAUUCACAAAGCAGUUGUGGACAGUGCAUACGAAGUUAUUAGUCUCAAGGGCUACACUUCUUGGGCAAUUG
RNAcentral lists this unclassified non-coding RNA (280 nucleotides) under Hevea brasiliensis (rubber tree). The record is from RNAcentral. Lineage: Eukaryota; Viridiplantae; Streptophyta; Magnoliopsida; Malpighiales; Euphorbiaceae.